RNAcentral lists this long non-coding RNA (242 nucleotides) under Malus domestica (apple). Its description in RNAcentral is "long non-coding RNA (MDOM_LNC019564)". The record is from RNAcentral. Lineage: Eukaryota; Viridiplantae; Streptophyta; Magnoliopsida; Rosales; Rosaceae.
CUCCCUUGGCCGAAGACCACCCUCUCCAUAUUCAGAAAUUCGUCCAAAACCCUAUUUUCCCACCUUGCCGCAGCCUUCCAUCCCCAAACUCCCAACUUUCUGCCCAAAUUCAACCUUGCCACACCAUCCUCUUCCCCAAACCAUUCCUACAUCCUUCCAUAACCAUUCAUCCACCUUGUGCAGCCACUAAAGGAGGAGAAAGAAGGAGUGCCGUGCAGUCCAAAGGAAGGAGAAGCCUUGCA